This is a non-coding RNA of Podarcis lilfordi (Lilford's wall lizard), 2866 nucleotides long. NCBI's taxonomy places the organism in Eukaryota, Metazoa, Chordata, Lepidosauria, Squamata, Lacertidae. The record is from the annotation of a GenBank genome assembly.
ACUUAGAAAGGGCACCUGUAAACACAGAUAUUAUGAAGGGAACAGCGAAAAGGGAAAUGUCACUCUACUAAGUAUGGAUUAAGACAUAUUUUGCUGUUAUAGGAAAUAUUUUAAAGCAGUAUGCACUCAUCAUAAAUAACACUGUCUGAUGUGUUUUAUACUUCAGAAUAGUUUUUUGAGUACAAAAAGUAAUACUGAGAAUGAUAAUAAAGAAAGAUGGAUUGGGGUAGAUGGAUAUAAUCAGUAGCUACCACAAUGUGUUUAGAACUGGGAACAAGAAAGACUGCAUCAGAAUAACCCCUGCAUUAAAAUAUAUGGUAAUGAAAGUAUUCUAGAAGCAACUGUUGUCAAUAUGAGCUUACAUGCUAGGCAUAUUACUGUAAUUUGUUACAGCAAGAUUGUGGGUGGUUAUUUAUCAAAAUGGACUUGUUGAUCAUGGGGUCCUGUUGAAGCUAUGGCAGUAUAAGUCCCUUUUUGCUGCUACACAUCUGGAAACAGUUGGGAUGAAAAGCUUUUAAUUUCCAUAGCCUCAAUUUUCAGUGGCUUAAACCCUCUUCCACCUUUCAAGAGAAGAGAAUAAAUGCAGCAGCAGCAUUCCCUGCCUGUCAAGGGGCUGUCAAGUGAGCCCAGGUUAUCCAUAGGGCAGGAAAGCAGGGGAGGCAUGGAAUGCAAUUAGCUUUUUGUUAACAGAAAAUGACAACAAAGUAGAGUCCUCUGGUUCAUCUUAAUCCGUCUGAGAUGUUGCUGAAACUGACCACUAGCCUUUCACACUGGAUCCCUACCAAGCAGAUGAAGGCUGCAUCGAGGUGUAUUCUCCUCAGGGCCUCUCUGGCCCAUUGCUCAGCAACAUGCAGGACUCUUCUCUAGCAGGGUGUCAGUGGGGGAUGAGAGCCAGCAGGACUGGGACUGUCCUGCUGUUGAGUAGCAGGGGCAACAUCUGAUUCCUCUCUGAGUCUGUGCUCACACUGAGACUCUCAGCUUCCGGCCUUGUCCUGAAAGGCCUUCCUUCUCCUGACCCCUCCUUGAUUGCUCAAACCUCUUGCUUCUAGCACCUCCCCGCUCAUCCUUUCUCCAGACUGCUCUCCAGUGUCCCAUCACCACAGUCUGGGGUCCAGGCCCUCCUCUUCCAUGUCCUCCUUGGAGGGCUACUCCCACCACUCUUCCUUAUCCAGCCAGUCCCUGACACUGCAUCCACCAAACAUGUGUCUACUGGACUGUCAGCACAAUCUAAUUAAGAGGACUUUCUAAGCAGAGUAUCCAAUUCUAUGAAUGGCUAUGGCAAGCUGUUGUUUCCCCCUACUACCAUGAAAGAACCCCAGCCCAGCCCAGUUCCAUGAUGCAGCCUGACUUAGCUGCAUGUCCAAACAAGGCCAAAAGUGGGAUGGUUAUUGUAAGCCUAAGUCAUAUAGGCUAACCGUGAGCAUGAAACAUCAAUUCAGUACAGCAUCUCUACUGAUUAAGCUAAGUGUGCUGAUACAUUUCCAUGCUUUUUGGAGCCUAGGGUCAAAAUCUACCCUUAUCCAGGAACUGUGUGUGUGUGUGUGUGUGUGUGUGCGCGCGCGCUCCUUAUUUCUAGGUAACAUGCAUGGAAUCAUACCUAAGUAAAUUUUUAAGAAUCAUAGAAUUGUAGAGUUGGAAGGAACGCUGAGGAUCAUCUAGUCCAACCCCCUGCAAUGCAGGAAUAUGUAAGAUUCUUAGCUAUUGGUUGUUUUUUUCAAAUCCUAGAAUCAUGACCUAUGCCUGCUUCUUUUAAGCUACUGGUGUGUUCAAGCCUUUGAUCCAACCGGAGGCUAUAGAAAUCUACUAGUCAUCUUCUUCUGCUUCUUUGAGGCAUAAUAAAUAGGCCAUUAGUUUCAUAGGUUCUCCUUAGGAUUGGCCACAAACAGCUUGUUGCUUCUCUGGUGAUGUCUCUUGACAGCAGUCAAAGGAUUCCAGAGAAUCUGUUUUGUAAGCUGCUGCUCUAACAGGAUGUUUAAAACUGAUUUAUCAAAACAGUGUUAAUUAUUUAACAGUGAAACAAUCUUGACUCCAAAGCUUGAGGUGGGCUAAUCCUUUUCAGUACCAAUAUUCUGUACAUCUGGCAUUUUGCAAAUUACAUAUUCUGUUUCUCAGAACCACUAUAUUUAUUACCAGAGGAAAACAGAUUAUUAAUUACAGCCAAAGGCUGCUUUGAUUAAAUAUACAAUUAAUUAGCUAUGCUAAGCCCAUCCCAAAGCUCCUAAUAUUUUCAGCUGGGUGAUUUUUCCAGUAUUUUAAUUAAAAUUGUUCUUAAAAAACCACAAGUUAGCUGCAUACACACUUAAACUGAAGUUAGCUCUUCAGUAUUUUGCUGCCUUCUGCAUGCUUCCUAAUUAAUCUUUAGUGAUUAAAUGUACAUAAAAACCAUCUGAAUGGAAGGCAAUUUGUGUAGAUAUGGAACAGUGGAGAGCUUUUACCCGGACUUGGCAUGAUUGUUUUAUCUGUUGAAAAUUAUUUCCAAGGGCCUCAGAUGUUAAUUGUUUUGAUGAGGCAGACGUGCAAGCAUACCUGCCAAACACAGCAAAAACAGCAUCAUCAAGAAGCUAUAUUAUUCAUUCCAAAUAGACAUCUGUAGAAAGAGGACAAACUAUUGCCAAGAGUUGGUAUGCCUUUUGACUUGUUUUACUAGAGUUGCUUGGGUGCACGUUUCAUGGCUCGUUCUCAUCAACAAAAAUCGUACUGUCUAGAAUAUUCCAAUAUUCAAAAGAUGUUUGGGGAAGGUAAUGGAAACAGUUAUGAGGUGUGGGAAAAUAGUCUUCAGUCAUAAACAAUGGAUGCUGAACUAUAGGAGAUUGGGACUGUUCUGUGGGUAGGGGGUGAUAAACAAGAAAAGGUGGUGUCAACAUAG